GUUUAGACAAGGAAACUAUAAGAGUAAGAGGAUAUAAUAGGAAAAGGAACAAUACAGACAUAGGGAGAAAGCAGAACCUAUAAAUGGGAUUAUAGGUAAGUAUAAUAGUAAGAGGAAAACCUAUACGUGAAAUAAUAGGUUAGGAGGAAGAAGGAGUGGUUAUAAAAAUAACGAGUAAGGCAAUAUGCCCCAAGUAGCUCAUCAGG
Pelobates cultripes (western spadefoot toad) is the source of this 206-nucleotide non-coding RNA. The record is from the annotation of a GenBank genome assembly. NCBI's taxonomy places the organism in Eukaryota, Metazoa, Chordata, Amphibia, Anura, Pelobatidae.